CCAUGGAACUCCAGUUGAGAAAAUAAGUGAAUCACAAUUGAUACAUUUUAUUGUCCAUAUGCUAUCUUACCAGAUUUCUGGCACUUUUUACUCAUCCUUUUUAUUCUUAAUCUGCAGUGAUUAAAGAACCUGCAGUUUCUGACAAUCAGCCCAAAGUACCAACUUUAGUCUGACUCCAGCAAAAUGAAGACACCCAAAUCAAAGAAGAAAAUUCAAGGAGUAAUUCAAAUUUUGUCCAUGAAAAUUCCCACCAGAAAUUGGGUGCAAGUUCUGUUGAUUUUUUACUUACCUGUCUGAUAGAUGUAAUAUUUGGGAGCCUUCCAGCACUCUUUUAGAAAAUGCACACCAAAUUGCUUCUCCUUUGACCAACCAUCUUGUGUCUUCCAGUGUGGCAUAGAGGAGUAGCAUAGGAGAAAGGGGAGUAAAAUUCUUCAUGACUGCUCCUCAGUAAAAGUGACUGGAGCCAUUGCAAAUGGUGGU
RNAcentral lists this long non-coding RNA (480 nucleotides) under Zonotrichia albicollis (white-throated sparrow). RNAcentral describes it as "lncRNA (ENSZALG00000016334.1)". Lineage: Eukaryota; Metazoa; Chordata; Aves; Passeriformes; Passerellidae. The record is from RNAcentral.